AGCUUUGCGCAGUGGCAGUAUCAUAGCCAAUGAGGUUUAUCCGAGGCGCAAUUAUUGCUAAUAGAGUCUAAUCUAAUUCACUAUAGGAUUUAUUUCACCAACUUUAUUAGUAUGUUCAGAAUGAAGCAAAGUUU
Octodon degus (degu) is the source of this 134-nucleotide small nuclear RNA. Its record names the gene U4. It matches the Rfam family "U4 spliceosomal RNA". Rfam says of the family: U4 small nuclear RNA (U4 snRNA) is a component of the major U2-dependent spliceosome. The structure of U4 snRNA from yeast and human has been reported. U4 snRNA presents a k-turn RNA motif in the 5p-SL related to recognition of Snu13 protein. The record is from Ensembl. NCBI's taxonomy places the organism in Eukaryota, Metazoa, Chordata, Mammalia, Rodentia, Octodontidae.